Long non-coding RNA from Ctenocephalides felis (cat flea), 933 nucleotides. RefSeq lists it as uncharacterized. The transcript is spliced from 5 exons. Lineage: Eukaryota; Metazoa; Arthropoda; Insecta; Siphonaptera; Pulicidae. The record is from RefSeq and is a predicted model, not a curated record.
AUAUUAACAAUUACUUAAUUCAUCUGAAAACAUUUUGUAUAUAUUAGACCCUACAGUAAGACAACUGAAGGGUGUAAUGGAGGAUUUGUGGAGAUAUUUGGAUUGCUCUACUCAUUCAAGACAAUAUAACCUUGUUGUGGAAAUGUCGAAGGGCACACUUUUAAAUGCAAAUAAAAUGUAUACUAUAAUAAAUAUAUAAAUAAAUUGUUCACUUUAAGAUGACUGCCUGUAUAUACUAAAUUAUAUUCUAACACUUUACUCAAGUUUAUUAUGAUUUUAUCAAUCAGUCAGGAGAAAUAUCAUAAGAGGUUUUAAUGGAGGAUUUGUGGAAAUAUUUGGAUUAAUCUACUCAAUCAGAACAAUAUAACCUUGUUAUAAAGAUGACGAAGGGCACACAUUGCAAUCGCAAAUAAAAUGGAUACUAAGUUCACUUAAAGAUGACUGCCUGUAUAUAAUGGAUUAUAUUCUAAUACUUACAGAUUCUUUCCUCAAUUUCAAAAUUUUAGUUUGGUAUGAUAAUUUCCAGCAAUUUGCCUCAAGGCACGAUGCCAUACACCACUAAUUUUUAAUGAAAACUGAUAUCACUAAUGCUAGAUAUCAGUUGUGCCUAGUGUAGGAUUAGAACUCGAACCUUUAUGGUUGCAAGGCCAUGGUUCUUACUGUAAUAAUUUAUUUCAAAUAUUCAUCAUUUUACUAGAAAGAUUUUAUCUUGUGCAGCAACAAACUUUAUUUUUAAAUAAAGAUAAUGUGAAAGCAUUUUGGACAAAUUCAUAAAGUUUCAGCAUUUUAUUUAAAAUACAAAAGAUUUACAUCCCAAAUUAUCUGAUAGAAAUCUUCACGGGCAUAAAUUUACAGAAAAUUUGUUGAAUCUUAUAUUUAAUUGAAGAUAAAGGCAAAAUCUCUACAAAUUAUUAUAAAAGUAUAUUAUGAGAG